Molecule: non-coding RNA, 72 nt
Organism: Myotis davidii
Lineage: Eukaryota; Metazoa; Chordata; Mammalia; Chiroptera; Vespertilionidae
Source: Rfam
AGGUUGUUAGCUUAAUGGUAUAGUAUUCGGCUUUUAACCGAAAGAAUCUGGGUUCGAUUCCCAUACAACCUA